CAAGGGCCUACACCAAGCAUCGAGUUCUGGUUAAAUGAAAAUACGAAAAAUAAAAUAAAAAAAAAAAAAAAAAAACAUGAACAUCACAAAACAAUAUUAUUAAUAACAAUGAGUGAUGAUGAGUUUUUUCAAGAUAAAGGUAGUAAUUCACUUCAAUAUAUUAAAUGCAAAACGAGCACAAAAAUUGAUGAUAUAUUAAAAAGAAGAAGAAGAGACAAAGAAGAUGUGCAAGGAAGUGAUAAAGAAACAAUGAUUGAAGAAGGAACUAGCGAAAUGGUAAUUAAAGAAGAAAAACAGGUAAGUGAUAAUUCAGCUGAAAAAAUACUUUCAAAUAUUGAAAAGAUUAAAACAAGUAUGAAUUAUAGAGUUAGUAUGAAUUACAAAAAUGAUAAUAUUACUCGUAUUAAUAGUACUAAUAAUGCUACAAGCAAUACUACUACUACUACUACUAUGAUUAAUGAUGAUGAUGAUAUUAUGAAUAAUCACUUUUCAAGCGGCAUGGAUAAAAAAGGAGCGUUAUACAAAAAUAAUAACAGUAGUAUUAAUAACUAUUUAAAAAAAAGUUAUUCUAAUAUAUAUAAUGGUGUAGAUAAUGUAAACACAGAAAAUAAUAAUUUAUUAGAAAAAAAAUUUACAAUUGAAAAUAUGAGAAAAAGUUCAUCAAAUAAUAGCUUAGGCUAUAAUAGUUUGUUAAAACAGAGUAUAAGUAGUUAUAAUAGAUUAACAUCAUUAAUAAAAUCAAAUAAGGAAUUAAUGCGUAGUAAUACUACGAUAGGUACUGUAAAAGCUCAUAUUGAUAAUAAGAAUAAUAACACGUAUUCUGAUAAUACAAACAUAAAUACAUAUGUCGAAAACCAAAAUAGCACCACUAAUUACAAUAAUGAUAAUAACUCACAUGUAAAUAGCUACUUAACCAAACAAUUAGAUUAUUAUAAAACACCUAGCACAGAAGAAAUUUUAAAUAAAAUAAAAAGCAACGAUGAUGAUGAUUUUAAUAAUUUCGAUGUAGGUUUGUAUGCUUAUGAUUAUGUUCAGGGGUUUGUGGGAAGUGCAUAUGAGGAAAAUAGCAAUACGAUUGAAGAUAAUAGUCCUUUCCAUAUGAGCAAUAGUUAUGUUUAUAAUAGGAGUAAUAGUUAUAUUAAUGAUAAUAACAAAAAUGAAUCAACAGAAACAGUAUCUAUUACAGCUAAUAACAAUGGUAGUAUUGGUGGUAUUACUGAUAAUACAAACAAGAACCAUAACGACGAUCAUAUAUAUUUAAAUAUGGAUUCUAUAAACAAAAUGAAUUACAAUGAAGUGGAUAUGAAUAAAACUCCAAGUAAAAGUUCAAAAAAUUAUUAUGAGUAUUUAAAAUUUGAAACAGCUGGUAAAAUGAAUAUGAGUGAAUUAGAAACUCCAUCAAAUUUAAAAGACGAAAAAGAUGAAGAUGGCACGAACACACCAUUUAUAGCUUACUAUUUGGCAGGUGCAACUGAAAAUAAUAAUAUAACUACUGAAGAGAAUAAUUUAGAAGAUAGUUUAAAAAAAGGAUUUACAAAUGAGCAUUCUAGUAAUGAAGAUAUUAACAACACAUAUGAGUCAAAGAUACAUAAAGAACAUAAUGGUUAUAAUAAGGAAUACAGUUUAACCGAUAAUAAAAAUGAUACAGAAAUGAAAGAUGUACUAAAAGAAGAUCAUAUUGAUAAAGAAGUUAAACCAUGGGAUUACGGUACUAAUGAUGUGAAUAGUGGUACGAGUCGUUUGUUUGAUCCGAAUGCAUCAAACGGAAAUGCAGACACUGGUGACAUAUUUAACCAUCAUAGCAUUUUGAAAAAAUAUAAUUCUUUAAAAAUGGAAAAGGAACAUAAUGAAAUGGUUAUAAAGGAUGACAGUAAAAAGGAGUUGCAUAUAAGGGGCCAAAGCGUCGGUAUGAAUAAUAAAACUUUAGUUGAUAAUAGCACGGAUAAUGUAACAAGUAGUGGCAAUAAUGUAACAAGUAGUGGCAAUAAUGUAACAAGUAGUGGUAAUAACAUAACAAACAGUGGCAAUAAUGUAACAAGUAGUGGCAAUAAUGUAACAAGUAGUGGCAAUAAUGUAACAAGUAGUGGUAAUACUAAUGUAAGCUUUGCAGAUAAUAUAUUUAUCCGCGCCAAUAGUAACAAGAUAGACAUCAAGCCGUUAGAAAAAAACAUUUUUGCUAACUCAACAUAUUAUAACAAUGAGGAUAAAAAUAAAAUUCAAAAAAGCAAAAGUGGAAUAAUUUUUAAAAACGUAGAAAAUAAAUUUAUUUUUGGUAAAACUGACAGUAUAUCAUUAAGCACAACUAAUGACACAAAUAGGUCAAGCAUAUAUGAUUACGACAAAAUAUAUAAAACGACACAAUAUUUGGAUAAAUCAAAUAAGAAUAAAAUACAUGAUUCUAUUUAUAAGGAACAAGAAACAACAUUCAAUCCGAUGACUAAUAAAGAUAUCAAAGGUAAUUAUAUUAAUUUUAAGAAAAUGAGUGGCAGUAGAAGUAUAAGUUGUAAUGACAAAUACGUGAAUGAUUCAUUUUACAAAAGAGAAUAUGCUCAACCAAAUUUAAAUAUGUAUGCUAAAACGUCUACAAUUUUUGAUAAAUCAAAAGGUGUUAACAUUUUACAAACAAAUAAUAAAACAGAAUUUGAAAAUCUAAAUCAACAGUUUGAACAUAACAAGGGAGAAGACAUACACAAAGAACAGUAUGACGAAAAAUUAAAAGAUAUCGAAAAAUAUAUACAUGAUAGUAAAAACAAAAUCUUUAACAAAAAUAAGGACAAUAAUGAAAAUGCUUAUUACUUAAAACAUAAAAAAUCAAAUAAAAGUAUUGGCAAUGGUAGUGGGGUAUUCAAAAGUGGUAAUUACAAUGACAAUUGUGGUGGUAAUAUUAUCCACGACAAUAUACACAACAGUCGAAACGAAGAAAACGUAUCCGGUUUAAAUAAUUUUGUGAAAAAUAGUACGAACAUAAAUCAAGAUAACACAUUAAAAAAAUCAAAUGAAAAAAAAAACAUGACCGUAGAUAUAAGUGCUAUGAAUAAAAGUAGAUAUGAAAAUGUGUUUUCACAAAAUGAUAUUAAAAGAGCUUAUAAUAAAAAUGGAGUAUAUGGAGAAGAUGUAAGUGGUUACAUUAGAAGUGUUACAGGUAGUGAAAUUCAUACUGGUAAUGUAGUUGCUACUGUUACUGCUACUGGCACACAUGUUCAUAGCAGCAGUAGUGGUAAUAACAAUAUGAAUGUAUGGUUAAAUGAUUAUUUAAAUGCGAAGAACAGGAAAGAAGUGCAUCUAGAUCGGGUGAUAAAUGGAGGUAGCAUUACUAGUAAUAAUAGCAAGAAAACAAAUAAUAAUGAAUUAAAGGGAAAUACUAAUAACGAUAACAUACAAAUAAAGGCAAGUACCAAAAACGACUACCACGACUCUUUACUAAACGAUCAUAAAGGAGUAAACAAAUCGUUCGACGCUAAUUUAUUCGGCACUAAUUUGUUCGGUAGUAAUUUGUUCGGUAGUAAUUUGCUUGGCACGAAAUUUUUUGGAACCAAUCCGUAUGGCAAUAAUACGUAUAACACCAAUACGUAUAGCACCAAUACGUAUAACACCAAUACGUAUGGUAAUUAUUCGUUCAGCGGUAUUACAAGUGGAGACAACCAAAUAAAGAACAAUCCAUAUAAUGGUAAUACGUUCCGUCAUAAUCUGUUAAAUAAUAACAAUGCAAAUGUUAUGAAUAUACCUGGAUUUAAUAAUAUGUUAGUUAAGAAUAAACAAUCGGUAGGCAUAGUAAAUCAAAGUAACAAUACAAAUAUAUUAAGUGAAACGGCAGAUUUUGGUUAUAAAGAAAAUAAGAAUGAAUUGAUUGGAUAUGAUAAUUCUGUAGCUAAUAAAGUUAUUAGUAAUAAUAACAUUGACAACAAUAUGAACAACAAUAUGAACAACAAUAUGAACAACAAUAUGAACAACAAUAUGAACAACAAUAUGAACAACAAUAUGAACAACAAUAUGAACAACAAUAUGGACAACAAUAUGGACAACAAUAUGGACAAUAAUAGUAACGGUUACAAUUCAUAUUUAGUUGACAGUAAUAAACUAAAACAAUACUGGAAUGAUUAUAUGAAUACUAGUUUUAAUAAUAUAAAUGUGAGUGAUAUAAAAAAUAGAAUAUUUAAUAAUAAUUACAACAAAAACAAAGAAACUGAUUCAACAAAGGAUAGUUCCAUAUUAAAUUAUAUAAAUGAUAAUGAAUUGUCUCAGUUUAUUCGUGAGCAGAUAAAAGACAGCAUAAAUUUUGCCAUUGAUAAAAUUUUGAAGGAUAAAAAUGUCGGGCUGGAAGGAAAUAUAACAAGGGAAAAAGAGAUAGAGACAUCUAAGCAUGAGGAAGACGAAACUGAUGCUACAAGGGAAUCAGAACGGAAUGAUGCGGAAAAUGCAGAUCCAAGCGGUUUAAGCGGUCCAAAUGAUGCAUAUACCACAAACAAGCUGUACAGUAAGCCAAGAGAAAGUGAAAACGAAAGCGAAUAUAAAUUAGCCGUUAGUAAUAUUACAAAAGAAAAGUCAUCUAUUAAUGAUAACGAUAGUUAUGAAAUAAAUAAGAUAAACAAUUUUUUACAAACGAGUAAAAUAAAUAAGAAGAUAGAAAUGAAGUACAUUGAUAAUACCAAGGAAGUAAUAAAUUAUAAGGAAAUGUUUUAUAAUUGUAUUAAUAUAAUUUAUUACCUAACAAAUGAACAUAAUAAAAAGAAUAAUAAAUUAAAUAGUUUGUUAUACGAAAUUAAUUGCAUAAACGAUUAUCAGAAAAAAAUAGAUAAUCUGACUGAAGAGAACAAAAAAAUGCGAGUUGAAAUAGCACAAAAAAAUGAAAAUUUAAAUAAAAAUUUCUUAAAAGAUAAAACUAGUUUAAAUAAUAAAAUAAAUGAACAAAGUAAAAAACUUGUAGGUUAUGAAAAGGAUAUAAGUAUAUAUAAAAAUCGUAUUAAUAAAUUAAAUAAUAAAAUAAUAAAUAAAGAUAACGAAAUCGAACAACUGAAAAAAAAUCACCAACUUAUUUUUGACGACAUAGAACAAUGUAAAAAAGAAGCAUUAAAUGUAAUAAAAGAUGUUUUAAAUAAAAAACAUGCUACAUUAGUUGAUAAACAGUGUUUGGAUCUUUCAAAAUAUUAUGAAAUACAAAUAACUGCAUUUAAAAAAGAAGUUAAAAAUUUGAAAAAUAUAAUAAAAAAUGAAGCUAAAGAUAAAAUUGCUUUAAAUAAAAAAAUAAAAAUGUUGACAGACACAUGUGCACAGAUGAAUCAACAAAGCAUGCAAAAAAAAACAGAUGGUAUUUAUGUAGAAUUUGGAAAUAAUAGUGAGGAAGGGAAUUAUAAAAACGGAGAAAAAAAGAAAUCUACUGUGUGUGAAGUGGAUCAAGGGCAUAUAAAUGGUGAUGGUAGAACAGGAAAAAACGGGAUUAUUGCUGAUGGUAGCACAAGCAAAAGCACAAAACAGUCUGAGUUGUGUAAUCAUGAAAAGGAAGAAAACAAUUACAAAAUACUGUAUCAUGAAUUGAUGGCAAAAAUGAAAGAUGUGCAAAAUUCUGUUGAUAAACAAAAAAUAUUAUAUGAUAAAAAACUAGAACAACUGGAACAACAUCAAGAAAUACAAAACGUUAAAAAUCAAUUAAAUGCAUCCGAAAAAAUUAUAGAAGUGUAUCAAAAUAUAUUUAGAGAAAAUGUAAAUCUAAUUCACAUGAACAGUGAUAAUAACAAUUAUAAUAGUCGCAGUAGUAAUACUAUAUGUACAAAGUCUGUUGGUGGUAUUAACCCUAACAAUAUGAACCCUAACAAUGUGAACCCUAACAAUGUGAACCCUAACAUUGUGAACCCUAACAAUGUGAACCCUAAUAAUGUGAACCCUAACAUUGUGAACCCUAACAACGUGAACCCUAACAACGUGAACCCUAACAUUGUGAACCCUAACAACGUGAACCCUAAUAGUAUACAUAUCGAUGCUUCACAAUGCGUGCAUAUGGACUAUAACACAUAUAAAAAUGAUCAUGAUAAUUUCUCUUAUAAUGCACAAAAUGAACAAGACCCGAACAAAAGUAUAAACGGUUAUUUUUCCCAACAUGGAAGUCAGCGUUUUGUUACAUCACCAUUUAACUACAAUUUAAGAACAGGAAGUGGAGGAGUAGAAAAAAGUGGUAUGCAAGAUGUUGUUAAUCCUAACGGAUAUGUUAUCACUUCAUAUAAUCAAUAUAAUGAUGAAACGAAUAGCAGAGCAAAUGAUAAUGUGCUAACUACUAUGAACAAUGGAGACGGUUCUCAUUAUGCUUAUUUGAACACGUUUUUAAAAAUGUAUCUGGAAAAUAGUAAUUUGGACGAUUUGACAAAUAUUUUCACGAAGGACAUUGAAGAAUUAAAAAAAAAAAAAAAAAAUAAAUAAUAAUUUGGAAAAACUUUUAUCUAUUGAAAAUAAUAAAAAUUUAUUUGAUAAUUUAAUGAAUUAUAAA
Molecule: long non-coding RNA, 6475 nt
Filed under: Piliocolobus tephrosceles (Ugandan red Colobus)
Lineage: Eukaryota; Metazoa; Chordata; Mammalia; Primates; Cercopithecidae
Description: lncRNA (ENSPTEG00000011847.1)
Source: RNAcentral